CUCGCGCCCCGCGCCCACAGGUGCACGCGCCCUUGGCGCCGCCUGCACCCCACGCGCCCCCUCCGCUCCCCGGCCGACGGCCCACCUGGGCUUCGUGAACAGUGGGAGGGAGAGUCUGGGGCCAGGAGAGGGACGGUGCAGGAUCAGGGAAAGGUGGAAAUCAGAAGUACAUGCAAUAGGAAUUAACUUGAAUAUGAUGCAUAAAGUUUGAAGCAAAGGUGAGUGAUAGAUGAACAUUGGUGAUGUAACUCCGGAAGUUGUCUGUCAUAACUGAUGACUUAUCCCCAUCAUAUGUGCUGAAAACUACUCAGAUGAAGUUAACAACCUGAUAUUACAAAAUAAGCAUAUAUAUUUUGUGUUUAUAAGAACCUAAUAAUCAUCUGGAGACUUAGUACUUGGGGGGUGAGCUAUAGAUAGCCCUGUGUAUCAGGGUUUUCCAAACAAACAGAACCAAUGGGAUAUAUAUAGAUAUAUAAAGACACUUCUUAUAGGAAUUGGCUCAGGAGAUUAUAAAGGCCAAGAAGUUCCAAUAUGUGCCCCCUGCAAGCCGAAGAACCAGGAAAUCCAGUGUAAUUCUUGCAUGUGAAGCUGAAGGGCUGAAGAGUGUCUGCUGGUAUUGAAGGCUCAAGAACCUGGAGCUCUGAAGUCAAGGGCAGGAGCAGAUGAUGGAUGUCCCAGCUUCAGAAGAGAGAGCAAAUUUGCCUUCCUCCACCUCUUUUAUGAUUCCUAUGCUCAGUUAAUUGAAUGAUGCCCACUCACAUUAGUGAGGAUGGGUUUUUGAUACCCAGUCUAUUGAUUCAAAUGCUAAUCUCUUCCAGAAAUACUCUCACAGACUCUCCCAGAAAUAAUAUUUUACCAGCUGUCUGGGCAUCCCUUAACCCAGGAUGGGCUAAGAGACAAGUGGACACAUAAAGUUAACCACCAUACCCUGUAAAUAUGGUAUGAGAAGGGAUCGAGUCAUAUUUCAUAUCAAGAUUAUUUUCCAAUGCAUAGAUGCCUUGGAAUAAUACUUCUUAUAAAAUAAUGAGUAACAUUUUCUAGCACAAGUUCCAAACUGUGUACCAUGGAACCCUAGCUCGGUCAUAUGUUGCUCGGUAUUGCAUGCAUACCCGAAAAGAAUUCUGUAAUCAAGUAACUUUGAGAAAUAAGAGGUUAAACAAAAUUAAACAAAUACCUUCACUUUAAAAUGCAUACAAUUCUUUAAGAUGAUAAUCUGCAUUUUGAAUUUUAAAGAGGGUAGGUAGCUUCAGUAUGUAGCAUCACUCCCUCUCCCUAUUUCUUUUUUCUUUUUUUUUUUUUUGAGACAUAGUCUCUCUCUUUUCCCCAGGCAUGAUCUCUGCUCACUGCAACCUCUGCCUCCAGGGAUCAAGCAAUUCUCAUGCCUCAGCCUCCUGAGUGGCUGGGAUUACAGGUGUGUGCCACCAUACCCGGCUAAUUUUUUUUUUUGUAUUUUUAGUAGAGAUGGGGUUUCACCAUGUUGGCCAGGCUGGUCUUGAACUCCUGACCUCAAGUGAUCCACCCACCUCAGCCUCACAAAGUGCUGGGAUUACGUGCACACACACCUAGCUAAUUUUUGUAUUUUAGAAGAGACGGGGUUUCACCAUGUUGACUGAUCUCGAACUCCUGACCUCAAGUGAUCCACCUGCCUGGGUCACCCAAAGUGCUGGGAUUACAGGCAUGAGCCACCGCGCCUGCCUGGCACCUCUCCCCAUUCCUUGUUUUUGUUUGCUGCACCAACUCCUAGUGUUGCACAAAGCAUGCUUUAGGGAAUGUGGUUUGGAAGCAUUCGAAUCAAACCCUUGAAUUUUUUUAGACCCUUGUAGAAGUGAAGGUUUAUAGUGUACAUUUUUGUCAAAGCAGAUGGGUUCUUUUCACUGAAAGUUGUUUUCACACAUGACCUUGAAAAUAAAUUAAUAAAAAAAAAGUAGAAAUAUUAGGCUGACAGACAUUUUAAAGUAGGGCAUAAGAUGCCAUAAAAAGCCUUUUGAAAGUUUAAAAUAGGAGUUAAAGUGUGUGUUAUAUGGAAGAUACCAGAUUAGAGUCUUUGAAUAUUUAUUAUAUAAAUGUGCAAGUAUAUGACCAGCUUCUUCCCAGUUUGGGGGAGUAAUGGGACGGCAUUCAGUUCACAUUUGAGACUGCUUCUCUUUAAAUUUUCGUAAGUGAAAAGGAAGAAGGAUCACUAAGUUUACAAAGACAAGUCUCGGAAUAAGACUUUCGUUCACUGUAUUGCCUUUAAUCAUCUGGUGGGAGGGCCCUCAAGAAGUGGCCAAGGCCCUAUGAAGAUUGGUGAAGAGUUUCAAGGAGGAGAAUUGAAGGAGACAGCUAUGGGAUUAAUUUUGAGAGAUGCCUUUGCUGAAAUGUCUCAUAAAAUAUACAUGGAGAGCAAGGGCACAAGGAGACAGAGAACUCUCUCGGCCAA
Homo sapiens (human) is the source of this 2419-nucleotide long non-coding RNA. Ensembl annotates it as APP divergent transcript. Its record names the gene APP-DT. The record is from Ensembl. Lineage: Eukaryota; Metazoa; Chordata; Mammalia; Primates; Hominidae.